RNAcentral lists this ribosomal RNA (460 nucleotides) under uncultured bacterium. RNAcentral describes it as "partial 16S ribosomal RNA". It matches the Rfam family "Bacterial small subunit ribosomal RNA", at positions 338 to 795 of the family's 1533-position model. The record is from RNAcentral.
CCUACGGGUGGCAGCAGUGAGGAAUAUUGGUCAAUGGGCGAGAGCCUGAACCAGCCAAGUCGCGUGAAGGAUGACGGCCCUACGGGUUGUAAACUUCUUUUGUCAGGGAGCAAUUGAGUCCACGUGUGGUCUUAGCGAGAUUACCUGCAGAAAAAGCAUCGGCUAACUCCGUGCCAGCAGCCGCGGUAAUACGGAGGAUGCGAGGGUUAUCAGGAUUUAUUGGGUUGAAAGGGGUCGUAGGCGGAAUAUCAAGUCAGCGGUAAAAAUUCGGGGCUCAAUCCCGUCGUGCCGUUGAGACUGAUGUUCUUGAGUGGGCGAGAGGUAUGCGGAAUGCGUGGUGUAGCGGUGAAAUGCAUAGAGAUCACGCAGAACUCCGAUUGCGAAGGCAGCAUACCGGCGCCCAACUGACGCUGAAGCACGAAAGCGUGGGUAUCGAACAGGAUUAGAUACCCCAGUAGUC